ACAGAGCUCACCUUUGGCAGGGAAAGUGGGCCAAAUGGGCCAGGCGUGGUGGCUCACACCUGUAAUCCAAGCACUUUGGAGGCCAAGGCAGGCAGAUCACCUGAGGUCGGGAGUUCAAGACCAGCCUGACCAACAUGGUGAAACCCCAUCUUUAAAAAAAAAAAACAAUAACAGUGGUUCAAAUAAUUGGCAGCCAAUAAUUUAAAAUAAUCACAGUGACAUGAAGCCAGGAGGAAAGGAGACUAAGCUUUGGAACAGAGUUUUCCAAGGUGGAAAAAUCCAAAGUUGAAGAGAAAAGUGGAAAAGCAGCUGCAGGGAAGCCGUGAGGGAGGCAGCUAAAAGCAGCCGUCUAAGCAGCGCUGCCGAGUCACACUGCAGUGCCAGCCACAUCCUGGCCACAGUAUCGGUUUCACUCUCACACUGAGUUGUAGAGGGUGGAAGCUUUGGGGGUGUUAUAGAUCCACCUGGGCCACACUCAAGCCUGCCCCGGAGUUUCUUCAGUAGCGGAAACAUCUAUGGAAGUUCAGGCCACUUGUCAUUUCCAUCAUCCCAUGAUUGAAGAUGGAGUUUUGCUCUGUCGCCCCGGCUUGAGUACAGUGGCACCAUCUCGGCUCACUGCAACCUCUGCCUCCAGGGUUCAAGCAAUUCUCCCACCUCAGCCUCCUAACUGAGAUUACAGCCACUGUGGCUAGUGGCUACUCUAUUGGACAGUGCAGCUUUGACUGAUUCCCAACCCAGCCACCCACCUUCCAACCCAGAACUGGAAGGAGAGACCGUGUGAGCAUGCUGAGCAUCCAGUGGCUGAAAGGUCGACUGGAGGGCCGAAGCCCCUGCGAAUGAGGACAGAGAAUGGCCAAGGCUAGAGCCACAAGGCAAACAACCUUUGCACCUUGGGAAGAGAGAUUUGGAGACUGAAGCUGCCUGGGCCCCUCUGCCCCCCAAACUGCAGGGGUGCCAUGGCCCUGGCCUCUUGCUUUCAGAGGGCCAUCGAGUCAAUGUCACAGAAAGGGGAAGAGACAUGUGCCCACAGACCCUCUGGUCAUGGAGGGGGCAGAGGUCUCUGGAGGGCAGCAGGGCCACAGCAAGGCUCUGGGGUUCUGAGUCUUCUUCCGUGGAUUUCAUCUCUGCGUGUUGUAGCUGCUCUGUGCCUGGGUCCAGGCUCUAGUGAGAAAUAAACUGCCUUCGGAGCCAUGUGACAGCAAAAGAAAUUUUAUCCCCAUUUUCUAGGGGACAGAAACAGAGCUCAGUGGUGCUUAGCAUGUUUCUGGCAAGGGUAGUGGAAAGACCACUUCCUUUUGGGUAAGUUUUUCAAAUAAGAAAAAUGAACGCAACUCCUGGACAUUGCUCCACCUGGACCUAGGACAGGGCCUGACAUUCCAGGGACUCCCAGGCUGGGUUUUCCACCAGAGCAGUCUUGGGGGCAGGAGCCUGUAAAUGCAGAUUCCCUAGGGCCCUGUAGGCGGUCUGGAUAGUACCUCCAGCACAGCUGCUUAAGGGGAGGCAGCCCAGCCCUCACCUGGGAGAGCUGUGCUGAUGCUGACUGCACACUGGGGCUCCUGGGGUUGAGUGGACAGGAUUCCCCGGGAGAGAUGGGCCCCAGCAGCCAGAGCACACUGUGGGUGUCAAGCUGCUAGUGAGAAGUAGGCUGUUCCCUGAGACCAUGACAGGUUGAGAGUGGGAAUCACCACCCCCCACACUCACCAAGGAAUGCUUUUGCUACAUGCUGGGGCUUUUUCUUUUCUUUGAGCCAGUCUCGCUAUGUCACCCAGGCCGGAGUGCAGUGGCGCAAUCUAGGAUCACUGCAACCUCCGCCUCCCAGGUUCAAGUGAUUCGCCUGCCUCAGCCUCCCAAGUUGCAGGGAGGUGCCCACCACCACACCCGGCUAAUGUGCUGGGGCUUUUCUAAGAACAAAAGUACAUAGGAGGGCAAGGCAGGAUUCUGGAGAGGCACAGACACUGAAAGCCAGGGGCACACAGGAGCCUAGCCACCAGGGUGGCACAGGGCAUCCAUGCAGACCCUCAGGUCUCAUGUGAGGGCUGAAUCAAGGUCAGUGCCAUUGGGAAGCAGAGGGAAGCAUGUGACCACCUCUCUGAAGCCACCUUUGUGGACAAAUGACAUACGAACUCAAGAAAAUGCAGGCUUGGCUAGGCAGUGGUUCACGCCUGCGAUCCCAGCACUUUGGGAGGAUCACUUGAGCCCAGGAGUUAGAGACCAGUCUGGACAACAUAGCACGACCUUGCCUCUACAAAAAAUAAAAAAAUUGGCUGGGCAGGGUGGGACGUGCCUAUAGCUUCUGCUACCUGGGAGGCUGAGGUGGGAGGAUCCCUUAAGCCCAGGAGUUUAAGGCUGCACUGAGUUAUGAUCAUACCACUGCCCUCGAGCAUGGGGAACAGAGACUGACCCUGUCUCAAAAAAAAAAAAAGAAAAACAGCUGGCCAGGCUCGGGGGCUCAUGUCUAUAAUCCCAGCACUUCAGGAGGCUGAGGUGGGCAGACUGCCUGAGGUCAGGAGUUCGAAACCAGCCUGGCCAACAUCAAGGUGAAACCCCAUCUCUACUGAAAAUACAAAAAAUUAGCUGGGCAUUGUGGCGCACACCUGUAAUCCCAGCUACUCCAAAGGCUAAGCAGGAAAAUCGCCUGAA
This is a non-coding RNA of Callithrix jacchus (white-tufted-ear marmoset), 2640 nucleotides long. NCBI's taxonomy places the organism in Eukaryota, Metazoa, Chordata, Mammalia, Primates, Cebidae. The record is from RefSeq and is a predicted model, not a curated record.